GUGGAUUAGAUACCCUAGUAGUCCACGCCGUAAACGAUGGAUACUAGCUGUUGGAAGCAAUUUCAGUGGCUAAGCGAAAGUGAUAAGUAUCCCACCUGGGGAGUACGUUCGCAAGAAUGAAACUCAAAGGAAUUGACGGGGGCCCGCACAAGCGGUGGAGCAUGUGGUUUAAUUCGAUGAUACGCGAGGAACCUUACCAAGGCUUAAAUGUAGAUUGACCGUUUUGGAAACAGAACUUUCGCAAGACAAUUUACAAGGUGCUGCAUGGUCGUCGCCAACU
Molecule: ribosomal RNA, 280 nt
Filed under: uncultured bacterium
Lineage: Bacteria
Description: partial 16S ribosomal RNA
Rfam family: Bacterial small subunit ribosomal RNA
Source: RNAcentral